This 72-nucleotide transfer RNA is filed under the name Ornithorhynchus anatinus (platypus). It matches the Rfam family "tRNA". From Rfam's summary of the family: Transfer RNA (tRNA) molecules are approximately 80 nucleotides in length. Their secondary structure includes four short double-helical elements and three loops (D, anti-codon, and T loops). The record is from Rfam by way of RNAcentral. Lineage: Eukaryota; Metazoa; Chordata; Mammalia; Monotremata; Ornithorhynchidae.
AGCAGCGUGGCUCAGUGGAAAGAGCCCGGGCUUGGCAGUCAGAAGUCAUGGGUUCGAAUCCCAGCUCUGCCA